RNAcentral lists this ribosomal RNA (494 nucleotides) under Clostridioides difficile. RNAcentral's name for it is "bacterial SSU rRNA". It matches the Rfam family "Bacterial small subunit ribosomal RNA", at positions 325 to 841 of the family's 1533-position model. Lineage: Bacteria; Bacillati; Bacillota; Clostridia; Peptostreptococcales; Peptostreptococcaceae. The record is from RNAcentral.
CACGGUCCAAACUCCUACGGGAGGCAGCAGUGGGGAAUAUUGCACAAUGGGCGAAAGCCUGAUGCAGCAACGCCGCGUGGGUGAUGAAGGCCUUCGGGUCGUAAAACUCUGUCCUCAAGGAAGAUAAGGACGGUACUUGAGGAGGAAGCCCCGGCUAACUACGUGCCAGCAGCCGCGGUAAUACGUAGGGGGCUAGCGUUAUCCGGAUUUACUGGGCGUAAAGGGUGCGUAGGCGGUCUUUCAAGUCAGGAGUGAAAGGCUACGGCUCAACCGUAGUAAGCUCUUGAAACUGGGAGACUUGAGUGCAGGAGAGGAGAGUGGAAUUCCUAGUGUAGCGGUGAAAUGCGUAGAUAUUAGGAGGAACACCAGUUGCGAAGGCGGCUCUCUGGACUGUAACUGACGCUGAGGCACGAAAGCGUGGGGAGCAAACAGGAUUAGAUACCCUGGUAGUCCACGCUGUAAACGAUGAGUACUAGGUGUCGGGGGUUACCCCC